Molecule: long non-coding RNA, 299 nt
Filed under: Daphnia magna
Lineage: Eukaryota; Metazoa; Arthropoda; Branchiopoda; Diplostraca; Daphniidae
Description: uncharacterized LOC123474660, transcript variant X2
Source: RNAcentral
UAGAACAGCCCCCUUCAUUUCCGAACAGAUGAACAAACACAGGGCUGAACGAAAUCUCUAUAUGACACGUGACACGAUGGAAAAGCUUUCCUGCCCGAACUUUGAAAAAUCAUGUGUGAAGGAAGGGGACUCAUCCGCUAAACCUUUUCCGAAUGUUCAUAUCUUCAGUAGAUAGACGAUUGUUGCAAGGAUUUCGUAAAUUUUUAAGAGACAUCGUUGAAUCUUAAUGAAAUCCUGUGGACAAGGUUCAAGCUUAUGAACUGUGUGCAUCAACUUGUAUGUUCUCGUCGGGCGCCAAU